RNAcentral lists this ribosomal RNA (484 nucleotides) under uncultured bacterium. RNAcentral describes it as "partial 16S ribosomal RNA". It matches the Rfam family "Bacterial small subunit ribosomal RNA", at positions 30 to 507 of the family's 1533-position model. The record is from RNAcentral.
AUUGAACGCUGGCGGCAGGCCUAACACAUGCAAGUCGAGCGGAUGAAGGGAGCUUGCUCCUGGAUUCAGCGGCGGACGGGUGAGUAAUGCCUAGGAAUCUGCCUGGUAGUGGGGGAUAACGUCCGGAAACGGGCGCUAAUACCGCAUACGUCCGGGGGGGGAAAGGGGGGGAUCUUCGGACCUCACGCUAUCAGAUAAGCCUAGGUCGGAUUAGCUAGUUGGUGGGGUAAAGGCCUACCAAGGCGACGAUCCGUAACUGGUCUGAGAGGAUGAUCAGUCACACUGGAACUGAGACACGGUCCAGACUCCUACGGGAGGCAGCAGUGGGGAAUAUUGGACAAUGGGCGAAAGCCUGAUCCAGCCAUGCCGCGUGUGUGAAGAAGGUCUUCGGAUUGUAAAGCACUUUAAGUUGGGAGGAAGGGCAGUAAGUUAAUACCUUGCUGUUUUGACGUUACCAACAGAAUAAGCACCGGCUAACUUCGUG